Molecule: small RNA, 120 nt
Filed under: Streptomyces turgidiscabies Car8
Lineage: Bacteria; Bacillati; Actinomycetota; Actinomycetes; Kitasatosporales; Streptomycetaceae
Description: Streptomyces-metH RNA
Rfam family: Streptomyces-metH RNA
Source: Rfam by way of RNAcentral
UACGUCCGUCCCGUGGACGCCCUGACCAUACGGCCCCGCACCGGGCUACCCUGGCCGCGUGCGUCUUCCCCGGGAAGGCGCAAAGCCGACAGCCGUCGCACUCCAGGGAGCCCUUACAUG